CCUACGGGAUGCACCAGUAGGGAAUCUUCCGCAAUGGACGAAAGUCUGACGGAGCAACGCCGCGUGAGUGAUGAAGGCUUUCGGGUCGUAAAACUCAGUUGUUAGGGAAGAACAAGUGCUAGUUGAAUAAGCUGGCACCUUGACGGUACCUAACCAGAAAGCCACGGCUAACUACGUGCCAGCAGCCGCGGUAAUACGUAGGUGGCAAGCGUUAUCCGGAAUUAUUGGGCGUAAAGCGCGCGCAGGUGGUUUCUUAAGUCUGAUGUGAAAGCCCACGGCUCAACCGUGGAGGGUCAUUGGAAACUGGGAGACUUGAGUGCAGAAGAGGAAAGUGGAAUUCCAUGUGUAGCGGUGAAAUGCGUAGAGAUAUGGAGGAACACCAGUGGCGAAGGCGGCCCCCUGGACAAAGACUGACGCUCAGAUGCGAAAGCGUGGGGAGCAAACAGGAUUAGAUACCCGAGUAGUC
This 466-nucleotide ribosomal RNA is filed under the name uncultured bacterium. RNAcentral's name for it is "bacterial SSU rRNA". It matches the Rfam family "Bacterial small subunit ribosomal RNA", at positions 338 to 795 of the family's 1533-position model. The record is from RNAcentral.